AUUUUCUCCCUUUUUCUUGUAUUUUAGUAGAUUUACACUGAGGAUGCCUUUUAAAAGAGAAAGAAAUGAAAGGCAUCUCUCACCCUCAAAUAAAAAAAGAAAAGUAACACAUUAUGAGCAGAUCUACCCGAAACAAACUGGUAUUAUAGUCAGUCAGCUACAGGCCAUCGUGGCGCAAAAAAGAAAGGACAAGAAAGAUCAUCAGCAUCUGUGUAUUGGCCUGAAUUUAACAGAGAUUAUAAUGUGGAUUUUACAGGUUCCUCAAUAUUUUUCUUUUCCUUGUUGACUUUUUUAAGUUCUUUUGACUUGCAAAUUGGCUUGACUGGCAUCUGCAAAUAGUCUUCAUGCUUUGCCUUUCCUCACUUUCAGCAUCAUGAUUUCUGUUACUGACUUCUGUUUGGUUAUUGUAUUUCUAUGAUCAAAUUCUCUGAUAGACGUAUAAUUCAACAAAAAUUUCUGAAGUUUGCUGGAGGACAAGGAAAACAAAUAGAAACAAUUCAUUUAAUAAGAUUCAUUAGCAAGAAGAAACACAGAGUUAUGAAUUUCCACCGUCUGUUAUUCACAUAAGGCUCAUUAUGUAGUUUGCAAAGUUUGAGUUCUUUCAUCUGCUACUGAAUGAUUACAUUACCAUUUGGCCAUUCCAUUCCUUGCUUCUAGUAACAUUACGAAUUUCAAGCUCCUCUUACUUUAUCAGUGCAUCCAUGUUUCGGCUUAUCCGCUUCUCCAAGCUGAUAAAUUUUGUUUACCUUUGAGCAAUUUUCCGGAGGAAAAUUAAUGUGGAUAUAUGGUGAUCCUGAACUUCUUGAUGACUCCGAAUUCUAUCAGCAACUCCUCAAGGAGUUCUUCGAGUCCUAUGACCUUGCCUCAUCUGAAAGCUGCAGCCUAAGAAACGUAAGGUGGUCGAUCGUCGUGCUUCAAAGAGUUGAAAGAUAAGGAUGAGUCUUCGUGAAUUGUAGUUUGAACUUCUCUAUUGGAGCGCAUAGAACUUUCCUUUCGCCUAUAAAAUUUUUUAAUUACAUAUUAGUCUUCUUAUAGCUCGAAUUUCUUUUUAGCUAUCUAAUAUUUGAUUGGCAUUUGUUUUGUGAUAAAAAUUGAUUUUGACAUUUAUUUGUAUUCGCAACAUUUUUGAGAAUGUAAUAUAUUUUUAUAUUCAGCUUAUUUGAUAUUUAUGAAA
This is a long non-coding RNA of Ananas comosus (pineapple), 1174 nucleotides long. RefSeq lists it as uncharacterized. The transcript has 2 exons. NCBI's taxonomy places the organism in Eukaryota, Viridiplantae, Streptophyta, Magnoliopsida, Poales, Bromeliaceae. The record is from RefSeq and is a predicted model, not a curated record.